This 222-nucleotide unclassified non-coding RNA is filed under the name plant metagenome. RNAcentral describes it as "partial contains small subunit ribosomal RNA, internal transcribed spacer 1, and 5.8S ribosomal RNA". The record is from RNAcentral.
ACUCCGUAGGUGAACCUGCGGAGGGAUCAUUACAGAGUUCAUGCCCUCACGGGUAGAUCUCCCACCCUGUGUUAUUAUACUUUGUUGCUUUGGCAGGCCGCCCGCGUGGGCUACCGGCUCCAGCUGGUAAGUGCCUGCCAGAGGACCCCAAACUCUGAAUAUUUUAUUGUCUGAGUACUAUAUAAUAGUUUAAAACUUUCAACAACGGAUCUCUUGGUUCUG